Molecule: non-coding RNA, 257 nt
Organism: Biomphalaria pfeifferi
Lineage: Eukaryota; Metazoa; Mollusca; Gastropoda; Planorbidae
Source: the annotation of a GenBank genome assembly
CAAAAAAAAAAAAAAGGAAAAGAAAAGAAAAGAAAAAACCGAGGAAGGGCUGCUAGCAGAAGUGGCGUCAGCAAGAAAGUGACGUCUGCUGGAAAGUGACGUCUGCUGGAAAGUAGCGUCUGCUAGAAAGUGGCCUCUGCUGGAAAGUGAUACCUGCUAGAAAGUGGCGCCUGCGGUAAAGUGGCAUGAUUUCUAUCCCAAAUUUACACCCUGGCUUUAAUGCUAGUGAACCUCAGCUUUGAAUGUCUGCCUAUUCU